Long non-coding RNA from Tarenaya hassleriana, 859 nucleotides. RefSeq lists it as uncharacterized. NCBI's taxonomy places the organism in Eukaryota, Viridiplantae, Streptophyta, Magnoliopsida, Brassicales, Cleomaceae. The record is from RefSeq and is a predicted model, not a curated record. The transcript is spliced from 4 exons.
AACAGAGUCGGCAUCUUUGUCUUUACUUUCUAUUUGUUGCCAACCAUCAUCUAUGAUCAAAAAUUUUGGUGGAGUGCCUCCUUCAGAAAGACUGCUACCUUUUAAGGCCUUCCUCAACACCUUCAGCAGUCACGUCUGUGUAGAAAGCGUCCCACGUGCACCACCCGAACCAGUUGAGGAAAGAAGGCAGCUAAUAAACAAACGAAAAAGAUAUAUCGUUAGAUCCCAAUUAAAGAGCCAGAAUCCAUACUCUCUGUAAGAUUCGCUAACCUUCUUCUUCUCGCGGUGAUGGAACGUUUGCAUGUGUUUCUCUACAGCUCUGUUAAAUCACGUAGAAACACUGUUACAAGAAACGUCUACACGGGACAACAUGAAGCAGAGCUAAUGCUUUGGUUGCUUUCAGAUGCGUUAUGAUUAAAAAAAACUGAUUACGGAAAACAUAAGAGGGCCAAACAUACUUUACGGCUUGUCUAAUAACUUCGAAGGGAUUGGUUCCAGCAUGAACAUAGACAAGAACAGAUCGGAACUGGCCUUCGAGGAGAGGUAGGAAAACAGUGUAGAUGGUGGGAGAAUCGUCGUCAACCUCGUCCUUGCUCUCAACAAGCAUGAAUUGGGUCUCCAAAGUAAUUCAAAAAUGGGUAAGAGGGUUCUUACUCCAAUACACCGAUGGGGAAGACAUGAAGAGACUUGUUGUGAUCAGAUGUUGCGCCGAUGAAGGCACCGGCGACACGACCGGCACCGGCGGUUCCCGGCGUGACGAUAAUGUUGUCGGGAACUUUGGUUAGGAUCGUCUUCCCUUCUACCACCAAGUUGUCGUUCUGGACGCAUAUCUUUGGGGUUAUCGUCAUUUUUUCUCUUA